Molecule: ribosomal RNA, 463 nt
Filed under: Pantoea sp. Z2NS-253
Lineage: Bacteria; Pseudomonadati; Pseudomonadota; Gammaproteobacteria; Enterobacterales; Erwiniaceae
Description: bacterial SSU rRNA
Rfam family: Bacterial small subunit ribosomal RNA
Source: RNAcentral
GCUCAGAUUGAACGCUGGCGGCAGGCCUAACACAUGCAAGUCGGACGGUAGCACAGAGGAGCUUGCUCCUUGGGUGACGAGUGGCGGACGGGUGAGUAAUGUCUGGGGAUCUGCCCGAUAGAGGGGGAUAACCACUGGAAACGGUGGCUAAUACCGCAUAACGUCGCAAGACCAAAGAGGGGGACCUUCGGGCCUCUCACUAUCGGAUGAACCCAGAUGGGAUUAGCUAGUAGGCGGGGUAAUGGCCCACCUAGGCGACGAUCCCUAGCUGGUCUGAGAGGAUGACCAGCCACACUGGAACUGAGACACGGUCCAGACUCCUACGGGAGGCAGCAGUGGGGAAUAUUGCACAAUGGGCGCAAGCCUGAUGCAGCCAUGCCGCGUGUAUGAAGAAGGCCUUCGGGUUGUAAAGUACUUUCAGCGGGGAGGAAGGCGAUNCGGUUAAUAACCGCGUCGAUUGACG